This 1647-nucleotide small RNA is filed under the name Pongo abelii (Sumatran orangutan). RNAcentral's name for it is "retained intron". The record is from RNAcentral. Lineage: Eukaryota; Metazoa; Chordata; Mammalia; Primates; Hominidae.
CCUGGGCGGCCGCAUUGAUAGCUUUACGCCCGGAGGCUUCGGCGCUGCCGCUGGUCCGCGACGGGAACGGGGCGAAAAGGCGGCGGCACCAUGUUCUCCCUCAAGCCGCCCAAACCCACCUUCAGGUCCUAUCUCCUGCCACCGCCCCAGACUGACGAUAAGAUCAAUUCGGAACCGAAGAUUAAAAAACUGGAGCCAGUCCUUUUGCCAGGAGAAAUUGUCGUAAAUGAAGUCAAUUUUGUGAGAAAAUGCAUUGCAACAGACACAAGCCAGUACGAUUUGUGGGGAAAGCUGAUAUGCAGUAACUUCAAAAUCUCCUUUAUUACAGAUGACCCAAUGCCAUUACAGAAAUUCCAUUACAGAAACCUUCUUCUUGGUGAACAUGAUGUCCCUUUAACAUGUAUUGAGCAAAUUGUCACAGUAAAUGACCACAAGAGGAAGCAGAAAGUCCUAGGCCCCAACCAGAAACUGAAAUUUAAUCCAACAGAGUUAAUUAUUUAUUGUAAAGAUUUCAGAAUUGUCAGGUUUCGCUUUGAUGAAUCAGGUCCGGAAAGUGCUAAAAAGCCAACAAAAUUAAUGGAAUUCCCUCAGGAGAUGGAGGAGGAGGAGGAGGAGGAGGAGGAGGAAGAGGAGGAGGAGGAGGAGGUAAUGGAGCUGGUGGUGGCAGCCAGAAAACUCCACUCUUUGAAACUUACUCGGAUUGGGACAGAGAAAUCAAGAGGACAGGUGCUUCCGGGUGGAGAGUUUGUUCUAUUAACGAGGGUUACAUGAUAUCCACUUGCCUUCCAGAAUACAUUGUAGUGCCAAGUUCUUUAGCAGACCAAGAUCUAAAGAUCUUUUCCCAUUCUUUUGUUGGGAGAAGGAUGCCACUCUGGUGCUGGAGCCACUCUAAUGGCAGUGCUCUUGUGCGAAUGGCCCUCAUCAGAGACGUGCUGCAGCAGAGGAAGAUUGACCAGAGGAUUUGUAAUGCAAUAACUAAAAGUCACCCACAGAGAAGUGAUGUUUACAAAUCAGAUUUGGAUAAGACCUUGCCUAAUAUUCAAGAAGUACAGGCAGCAUUUGUAAAACUGAAGCAGCUAUGCGUUAAUGAGCCUUUUGAAGAAACUGAAGAGAAAUGGUUAUCUUCACUGGAAAAUACUCGAUGGUUAGAAUAUGUAAGGGCAUUCCUUAAGCAUUCAGCAGAACUUGUAUACAUGCUAGAAAGCAAACAUCUCUCUGUAGUCCUACAAGAGGAGGAAGGAAGAGACUUGAGCUGUUGUGUAGCUUCUCUUGUUCAAAUGAUGCUGGAUCCCUAUUUUAGGACAAUUAUUGGAUUUCAGAGUCUGAUACAGAAGGAGUGGGUCAUGGCAGGAUAUCAAUUUCUAGACAGAUGCAACCAUCUAAAGAGAUCAGAGAAAGAGUCUCCUUUAUUUUUGCUAUUCUUGGAUGCCACCUGGCAGCUGUUAGAACAAUAUCCUGCAGCUUUCGAGUUCUCCGAAACCUACCUGGCAGUGUUGUAUGACAGCACCCGGAUUUCACUGUUUGGCACCUUCCUGUUCAACUCCCCUCACCAGCGAGUGAAGCAAAGCACGGUAAGCAACCCUGUGGCUGUGGCUACAUUUUCCCUGUUUUUACAACUUUAUCGAGGCAUAAUUGAAGUAUAAUUCA